This is a non-coding RNA of Salvelinus sp. IW2-2015, 804 nucleotides long. The record is from RefSeq and is a predicted model, not a curated record. NCBI's taxonomy places the organism in Eukaryota, Metazoa, Chordata, Actinopteri, Salmoniformes, Salmonidae.
GAGAAUGAGGGAAACAAGAAACACGUAAUCUCCCAAAUAACCGUUUUAGUCCUUUCCCCCUGGAUUUGUGUCUUAAGAUAGCCUACAUUAUAUACUUCAAAGGAUACUCGGGAGGCCACGAGACUGUUACAAUGGGACUUGAAGAUGAUGUCCAGUACGCCACGGCUGCUCCAGCCAAUAAACAAGGUGACUAACAAUGGAAGUGGGCCAGGAAUGAAGAGAAGGAGACAGGGUAUAACCUCACAACACUCAGCAGGGAGAAAAGGGGGGGGAAGAGUGUAACGUGUAUCAAAUACAAAUGCAUCUAUAGUCUAUUUUGGAAUGACUAACAUGUCGUGUAGUUCUGUGUAUAUCAUUUUGAUCUGACCAUGAGAUGAUAUUAGAUUGCUUUAAACAAAUAUUUUGGGGUCAUAGAAAAAUAUAUCUUUUUUUUUUUUUGAUUCUUAGGAAUAUCAAAGUGACACUCAUUUAAGAGAUAUAACAAAUUAGUUGUUUUUUAUAUACAAAAUGGAAGAGGCAGGAUAAUGGAAAUUAUUUAUUUUUCAGGAGGAAGUUUCACAAGGUACUAUAACGGAGUUUCCAUGUUAGAAUUAAAUGAUUUUAGGACUGAAGGCCAAAAGACUAUUGAACUUUUAUGUGUGUAUGUUGGUGUGCCUCUGUGUGUUUCCUUGAGCAAAAUUAAUUAUCACCUUUGCCCCACAGAAAAUGCAAUUAAUAGCGGAAAUAAUUAUUUUUUCGUUUCUUUCCCCAAUUCACGGCUAAUUGAGAACCUUGAUAUUAAAGUUGUUGUACAUUUUUAUGGAA